GACAAAAUAAAUUAAUACAGAUACACAAACACAUGUAUGCAAAAUUAUACUUUUAACAAAGAUAUAUGUUUUACUUUUGAAAUAUGUUUCAUUUAGACUGCAAAACAAGCAAGAAGAUUUAUUAUGAAUCAGAGUUGUUUGUGCUCUCAGGAAGGAAGAUAAUGAUCUAACCAAUCUCUUUCACUGGGAACUGUUUUCUGAAUAUUAUAAGGCCCCAGGGAUUCCAGAUGGAAUACAGUAUAAUUAACUCUUCACCACCAAAUACCUAUGUUAGAAGACCUUGAGAAUAAAUGAUUGCCUAAUAGCAAAUGGCAUCCUACUUCUUGACUACACUUGCACCUGAGGAUACAAAAGGACAAGGUGUAUUUAACCUUAGAAUGUCUCUAUAAGAUGAAAACAAGUAAGUGCAAUUAUCUCCACUUAAAGUCUAAAGUUGGCAAACACUUAUAAGAUAAAUGACUUGCUCAAGACUGACUAGGAGGAAGAGUUUUAGUAUAAAAACUUAAACUCAUUAUCUCUUUUUUACAUGGGACUGAAUGGAGGAUUGAGAAUGGCUCUUUAUGUGGAAGAUAACAUAUUUAAUAUAUUUUCUUUCGUUUUAAGGCAGUAUUGAAAUGAAAAAAGAAUAAACUUCUAGAUUCUGAUAGUAUACAUGGUAAUAAUGUAAUCAUUUUAGUAAUAAUUAAGCUAUAUUGGGUAAUUUUUGCAUGCCAAACAGCAUACUGCAUAUUUACAUGUUAAAUCAUUCCUUUUAUGAAAUUUUAACAAUGACAAUGAUGUAAUAGCAAUGAUUCUAUGAAGAAUCUGCUAAGAUAAAGAAGCCUAGGCCAGGAACUGUGGCUCAUGUCUGUAACCUCAGCACACUGGGACGCCAAGGAGGGAGAAUAGCUUGAGGCCAGGAGUUUGAGACCAGCCUGGGCAAAACAGCCUAGUUUCUACAAAACAACCCAGUCUCUACAAAAAUAAAAAUAACAUAAAUAAAUAAAUAAUCCUCUACUCAA
This 1001-nucleotide long non-coding RNA is filed under the name Homo sapiens (human). Its description in RNAcentral is "non-protein coding lnc-SULT1E1-1:1". Lineage: Eukaryota; Metazoa; Chordata; Mammalia; Primates; Hominidae. The record is from RNAcentral.